CGGUGGUCUUCCAUCUCACACUCCUCUUUCUUCUUUACCUUUUCCCUCUUCCAUAGUUUGUAUUUGUUUGUUUUCUCUGUCUCCUCAAAUCAAUCAAAUUUCAACUUCUUCAACUGAGCUGUGGCGUUGAAGUCCAUCUACCAUCUUGGAUUUAGACGGUGCUGGGCACUGGUCAGGCAUUGAGAUUCAGUAGAGUUUUGCAGCCGGCGAUUGUGGCCUUGCCUUCCACUUUCACUUUCAUUCAUCAACACUGCGCUUGCAGCAUCCCGGAUCUCAAACCACAACCUAUGCUUCUCUCUCACUCUACUCAUAACCCUAUACUUUUCUGAUUCUGCGCUGUAUUGAAACCCUUUCGAUCCCAUGCCCAAAUUUUCCAUACACCAAUUAAACCCCCUCGCAAUCUCUCUUCACAAGCCGGCGCGCCUUCCCCCUUUCUUGUAUUUUUCCUCUCUUCCUCUUUCUUCCAACUCAACUCCGGAUGCCCAAAAUGAGCUCUCGAUAUCACCUCAAAUGUUCAAAUCCGGCCCCCAAUUCGGUUCCUAUAAGGUGGGGGAUGCAACAUUUUAUCGUUUAAUCGAGAACUAUGCAACUUCUGGAGAAUUCCAUUUGAUACACCAAGUUUUGGAUAGAAUGAAACGUGAAAGGCGGGUCCUUAAGGAAACUGUUUGUAUCCUCAUUUUCAAGGCUUGCGGGAAAGCUCAUUUACCUGGGGAAGCUGUGAAAUUUUUUCACAGAAUGGCCAACGACUUUCAUUGUAAGCAGACUGUAAAGUCAUUCAAUUCGGUUCUUAACGUAAUUAUUCAAGAGGGGGACUUUUCAUACGCAUUCAAGUUUUAUUUGCUCGUUUUCGGUGCCAAUAAGAAAGGCUUUCAGCCCAAUCUACUCACUUAUAAUUUGAUUAUUAAGACACUGUGCAAGUUAGGACAGAUAGAUAGAGCUGUUGACACUUUUAGAGAAAUGCCACUGAAAAACUGCAAUCCCGACGUCUUCACUUAUAGUACAUUAAUGAAUGGGUUAUGUAAGGAAAGCAGGGUAGACGAGGCAGUGUUUUUGCUGGAUGAGAUGCAAGCAGAAGGCUGCCUUCCAAAUCCCGUGACAUAUAAUGUAUUGAUUGAUGCACUAUGCAAGAAUGGUGACUUGAGUCGAGCGGCAAAGCUUGUGGAUAAUAUGUUUCUCAAAGGUUGUGUUCCAAACGAAGUGACCUAUAAUACCCUUAUCCAUGGGUUGUGCUUGAAGGGAAAGUUGGACAAAGCUCUUAGUCUUUUGGAGAAAAUGGUGUCGAGUAAAUGUGUUCCUAAUCGAGUCACAUAUGGAACAAUCAUUAAUGGUCUUGUUCAACAAAGAAGGGCUGAGGAUGGAGUACACAUUUUGGUUUCUAUGGAAGAGAGAGGACAAAAGGCAAAUGAGUACAUUUACUCGUCUCUCAUCAGUGGUUUAUUUAAGGAGGGCAAGUCUGAAAAUGCCGUGAGGCUGUGGAAAGAAAUGGCAGAGAAGGGAUGCAAACCCAACGUUGUUGUUUACGGUGCCUUUAUAGAUGGUCUAUGUCGAGAUGAAAAGCCAGAUGAAGCUGAAGACAUUUUGCAGGAAAUGUUAAGCAAAGGCUUUUUACCAAAUGCCUUCACUUACAGCUCCUUAAUGAAGGGGUUUUUUAAAAAAGGUGACAGCCAAAAAGCAAUUCUUGUGUGGAAAGAGAUGAUGAGUCAGGAUAUGAGGCACAAUGUAGUUUGUUGCAGUGUCUUACUUAAUGGCCUAUGUGAGAGUGGAAGACUAAGGGAGGCGUUGACAGUGUGGAAGCACAUGCUCGGUGAGGGACUUAAGCCUGAUGUUGUGGCUUAUAGUUCAAUGAUUAAAGGUCUUUGUGAUGUCGGCUCCGUAGACAAGGGCUUGAAGCUUUUCUAUGAGAUGCAGUGUCAGGAGCCCAAGUCCCGACCAGAUGUAGUCACCUAUAAUAUACUUCUCAAUGCCCUUUGUAGGCAGGAUAAUCUCACCCGUGCCAUUGAUCUUCUAAAUAGUAUGCUCGAUGAAGGCUGUGACCCUGACUCAUACACAUGCAAUAUCUUUUUGGAAACUUUGAGGGAGAGGAUUAAUCCACCACAAGAUGGAAGGCUGUUUUUAGAUGAGCUCGUGGUAAGGUUACUUAAGCGAGAGAGAAAAUUAUCUGCUUUGAGAAUUGUAGAGGAAAUGCUCCUAAGAUUUCUGCCACCGGAGCCAUCAACUUGGUCCAGAGUCAUUCAAUGCACAUGCAAACCAAAAAGGAUUCGAGAAACCAUAGACGAGUGUUGCAGAAGCCUAUAUGGAUAAUGACAGACUGUACUUUGCUGUCUUUUGAGAUUUCCAUUAUAUGGAGCAUGACGUCUUAGAAGAAAAGUUCUCCGAGUUUUGAGGUGAGCAAGGAGUUGGUUUCAGAAGUUCCAAAAUAGAGUAAAGAAGGAAACUGUAUGUAAAUGAGGUUCGGGAUGUACCUUCAAGUACGACGAAGCAGAAAGUUGAGGUUGCCAAGCAAGAUAUUGACAACCAUUACAGAUCUCAAAUGAAAUCAUUGCAAGAUAGGAAGGAGAGGUGUUUUUUUAUAUAUAUAUGUAUACUUUUUAUGUUUAAAUAAAUUAAAUGGUAUGGUUACAGUUGAUGGUUUUCCAUGGGAUCUAGAAGACUAGAAGUAUAAUACUUGUAAGAAAAUAUGUGCAGGGGCCAAAGAAUUCGUAUGUUGGGUGUUCUAGAGGAGGCUUGCUGAUGCAGAUGUUUAUGAGGAAGACGAAAUAAAUUUCUGUUAAAUAUUUAGAACAGAAGGAGACGGAAUACACGCGCCUUCGUAGGCAUAAAAUGGGCGCUGAUGACUUUGAACUUUUAACAAUUAUAGGAAGGGGUGCAUUUGGGUUAGACUUGUAGAGAUAAAAUCACAGGUCAUGUUUAUGCAAUGAAGAAGCUUAAGAAAUCUGAGAUGCUUUAUAGUGGGCUGGUAUUUGUGAAACCUUGUGCCCUAUAUUGGUUUGAUGAUGGAUUGACAUAUUUUCACUAUUCUAGUUGAUGGUUAUUCUUCCUUCUGAAUUUCAUACUUGCUUGUGUAUAGUAGGCCUAGUAUGUGAUGUGAAGUUGGUAAAGAACUUACUAUUCCUUAAAUUAAAUGAAGGAUGAGAAAUUGGAUCUUA
Molecule: RNA transcript, 3146 nt
Organism: Cucumis melo (muskmelon)
Lineage: Eukaryota; Viridiplantae; Streptophyta; Magnoliopsida; Cucurbitales; Cucurbitaceae
Gene name: pentatricopeptide repeat-containing protein At4g20090
Exons: 5
Source: RefSeq, a predicted model, not a curated record